UAAUUAAAACGCUAGAAGUGGGAAGA
This 26-nucleotide non-coding RNA is filed under the name Rattus norvegicus (Norway rat). Lineage: Eukaryota; Metazoa; Chordata; Mammalia; Rodentia; Muridae. The record is from RNAcentral.